AUUCCAGCUCCAGUAGCGUAUAUUAAAGUUGUUGCAGUUAAAAAGCUCGUAGUUGGAUUUCUGGUUUCACAGAACUGGCCUACUUCCUCAAGGUCGUGUGCGCCGUGUUUUGUGUACCAUCCUUCUAGAAAUUGUGUUCCAUCCCUUCACUGGGAUAGAUCCGAGAUCUAGAUCUUUUACUUUGAAGAAAUUAGAGUGUUCAAAGCAGGCUCGCGCUAUGAAUACAUUAGCAUGGAAUAAUAAUUUAGGACUUGGUAUCCUAUUUUGUUGGUUUUCAGGAUCUAAGUAAUGAUUGAUAGGGAUAGUUGGGGGUGCUAGUAUUUUGCGGCCAGAGGUGAAAUUCUGUGAUUCGCGAAAGACUAACUUAUGCGAAAGCAUUCACCAAGGAUGUCUUCAUCA
This 399-nucleotide ribosomal RNA is filed under the name Cercozoa sp. RNAcentral describes it as "partial small subunit ribosomal RNA". It matches the Rfam family "Eukaryotic small subunit ribosomal RNA", at positions 582 to 975 of the family's 1831-position model. The record is from RNAcentral. Lineage: Eukaryota; Cercozoa.